UUUUAAAAGGCGAUUUAAAAUGAUGUGUCCAAAAUUUGGGUCUUGGAAAUAACGUUACUUUUUUUAUCAGUAUAAUAAUCCCAAGCACACGGCCCUCAACGUUCGCCUUUGGUGAGUCUAUAAUUGUCCACAACUUCUGAAAACACCACCUCAGUCACUAGAUUUAUAAAAUAUAUUUGGAGAGAAUUAGAGGUUAGAGUGUGAAGAAACAAUAAUAAAACGAAAACUGAACUUAAUGAAAACAAUAAUGACGGAUGAAUGAAGGAACAUUGAUGCAGAUGUUACAAAAAAACUAGUGAAUUCUAUGCCCAGACGUUUGAAAGCUGUCAUAAAUGCUGCAGGAUAUUCUACAAAAUACUAACUGACAGAAAUUACAAUAUUUACCAAUACGUGCAGAUUUCUUUAAAGUGUACGAAGACUUCUGUGAGAAUCAUCUGUCAGCCUGAAUUCGUGACUGAGCAAAAUCACCUCUGCAAACACAAAUGAUGACGAAGAUGAUGAAGAAUCGGAAUAAUUUCCAGCGUGGAAUCUAGUGACGUGGAGUUUACAUGAAAAGGAAAUCUCAGUAAUUCCCCCCAAAAAAUUGUUUUAUGUUGAUAGCAGAGGAAAAAGGAAAUAAAAAAAAAUCAGCAUAAAUUAUGGAUUGUGAUGAAUCAUUCAGUGAGAGCUGUUUUAUAAUCCGAGUAAAACUUACAUGAUAAAUUAUAUCACGCUGAUUUAAAAUGUUUUUCGUAAAAUCUGAAAAUAAAAAUAUUUUACUUAGUAUAUAAAAUACUUCAGUUUAAUAGCGUAACUAGAUAUUUUAAGGGUCUCCUAUAUACAUAUUUGUAGGGUCAGUCAGAUUGUGGAUAGUUGUAUUUAAG
Molecule: long non-coding RNA, 863 nt
Organism: Stegodyphus dumicola
Lineage: Eukaryota; Metazoa; Arthropoda; Arachnida; Araneae; Eresidae
Source: RefSeq, a predicted model, not a curated record